GGCGAACGCUGGCGGCGUGCUUAACACAUGCAAGUCGAGCGGUAAGGCCCUUUCGGGGGUACGACGAGCGGCGAACGGGUGAGUAACACGUGGGUGACCUGCCCUCAGCUCUGGGAUAAGCCUGGGAAACCGGGUCUAAUACCGGAUAUGACUCCAUGACGCAUGUUGUGGGGUGGAAAGCCUUGUGCGGCUGAGGAUGGGCCCGCGGCCUAUCAGCUUGUUGGUGGGGUGAUGGCCUACCAAGGCGACGACGGGUAGCCGGCCUGAGAGGGCGACCGGCCACACUGGGACUGAGACACGGCCCAGACUCCUACGGGAGGCAGCAGUGGGGAAUCUUGCGCAAUGGGCGAAAGCCUGACGCAGCGACGCCGCGUGAGGGAUGACGGCCU
Molecule: ribosomal RNA, 389 nt
Filed under: uncultured bacterium
Lineage: Bacteria
Description: bacterial SSU rRNA
Rfam family: Bacterial small subunit ribosomal RNA
Source: RNAcentral